RNAcentral lists this ribosomal RNA (496 nucleotides) under uncultured bacterium. RNAcentral describes it as "partial 16S ribosomal RNA". It matches the Rfam family "Bacterial small subunit ribosomal RNA", at positions 28 to 507 of the family's 1533-position model. The record is from RNAcentral.
GAUGAACGCUGGCGGCGUGCCUAAUACAUGCAAGUCGAGCGAACAGACGAGGAGCUUGCUCCUUUGACGUUAGCGGCGGACGGGUGAGUAACACGUAGGUAACCUACCUAUAAGACUGGGAUAACUUCGGGAAACCGGAGCUAAUACCGGAUAAUAUUUCGAACCGCAUGGUUCGAUAGUGAAAGAUGGCUUUGCUAUCACUUAUAGAUGGACCUGCGCCGUAUUAGCUAGUUGGUAAGGUAACGGCUUACCAAGGCAACGAUACGUAGCCGACCUGAGAGGGGGAUCGGCCACACUGGAACUGAGACACGGUCCAGACCCCUACGGGAGGAAGCAGUAGGGAAUCUUCCGCAAUGGGCGAAAGCCUGACGGAGCAACGCCGCGUGAGUGAUGAAGGUCUUCUGAUCGUAAACCUUUGUAUUAGGGAAGAACAAACGUGUAAGUAACUGUGCACGUCUUGACGGUACCUAAUCAGAAAGCCACGGCUAACUACGUG